This 22-nucleotide microRNA is filed under the name Drosophila melanogaster (fruit fly). Its description in RNAcentral is "dme-miR-4948-3p". The record is from miRBase by way of RNAcentral. Lineage: Eukaryota; Metazoa; Arthropoda; Insecta; Diptera; Drosophilidae.
CCACGCCGGUGCGCUUGCCCUC